AUUGAACGCUGGCGGAAUGCUUUACACAUGCAAGUCGAACGGCAGCACGGGGCAACCUGGUGGCGAGUGGCGAACGGGUGAGUAAUACAUCGGAACGUGCCCAAUCGUGGGGGAUAACGUAGCGAAAGUUACGCUAAUACCGCAUACGAUCUACGGAUGAAAGCGGGGGAUCGCAAGACCUCGCGCGAAUGGAGCGGCCGAUGUCAGAUUAGGUAGUUGGUGGGGUAAAGGCUCACCAAGCCGACGAUCUGUAGCUGGUCUGAGAGGACGACCAGCCACACUGGGACUGAGACACGGCCCAGACUCCUACGGGAGGCAGCAGUGGGGAAUUUUGGACAAUGGGCGCAAGCCUGAUCCAGCCAUUCCGCGUGCAGGAUGAAGGCCUUCGGUUGUAACUAGCUUUGUACGGUAACGAAACGGUAGAGCUCUAAUACAGUUUGCUAAUGACGGUACCGUAAGAAUAAG
Molecule: ribosomal RNA, 465 nt
Filed under: uncultured bacterium
Lineage: Bacteria
Description: bacterial SSU rRNA
Rfam family: Bacterial small subunit ribosomal RNA
Source: RNAcentral